This 71-nucleotide transfer RNA is filed under the name Selaginella moellendorffii. It matches the Rfam family "tRNA". From Rfam's summary of the family: Transfer RNA (tRNA) molecules are approximately 80 nucleotides in length. Their secondary structure includes four short double-helical elements and three loops (D, anti-codon, and T loops). Lineage: Eukaryota; Viridiplantae; Streptophyta; Lycopodiopsida; Selaginellales; Selaginellaceae. The record is from Rfam by way of RNAcentral.
GGAUCCAUGGCACACGGCAGCGCGUUUGACUCCAGAUUAGAAGGCUGCAUGUUCGAAUCACGCCAGGUUCA